GUGAGUCAUCGAAUCUUUGAACGCACAUUGCGCCCCCUGGCAUUCCGGGGGGCACACCUGUCCGAGCGCCGUUUGUAAGCUGAGGCAUUGCCUUGCGAUGGCCUCCUCCGUGCGGGGAGGGGCCGAAACGGAUGGGCGCCGGGACGCGGCGAGCAGCGUGACACGAGAGCGCGGCGGACCGCGGGCCGGGCAGCCUGAGGAAAAAGACUACUUGGCCUCGGAUCAGGUGGGGAUACCCGCUGAACUUAAGCAUAUCAAUAAGCGGAGGA
RNAcentral lists this unclassified non-coding RNA (269 nucleotides) under Heliocephala sp. RNAcentral describes it as "partial contains 5.8S ribosomal RNA, internal transcribed spacer 2, and large subunit ribosomal RNA". The stretch from base 1 to 71 matches the Rfam family "5.8S ribosomal RNA", at positions 84 to 154 of the family's 154-position model. Lineage: Eukaryota; Fungi; Ascomycota; Dothideomycetes; Myriangiales. The record is from RNAcentral.